RNAcentral lists this ribosomal RNA (465 nucleotides) under Vreelandella stevensii. Its description in RNAcentral is "partial 16S ribosomal RNA". It matches the Rfam family "Bacterial small subunit ribosomal RNA", at positions 338 to 795 of the family's 1533-position model. Lineage: Bacteria; Pseudomonadati; Pseudomonadota; Gammaproteobacteria; Oceanospirillales; Halomonadaceae. The record is from RNAcentral.
CCUACGGGCGGCAGCAGUGGGGAAUAUUGGACAAUGGGGGCAACCCUGAUCCAGCCAUGCCGCGUGUGUGAAGAAGGCCCUCGGGUUGUAAAGCACUUUCAGUGAGGAAGAACGCCUGGUGGUUAAUACCCAUCAGGAAAGACAUCACUCACAGAAGAAGCACCGGCUAACUCCGUGCCAGCAGCCGCGGCAAUACGGAGGGUGCGAGCGUUAAUCGGAAUUACUGGGCGUAAAGCGCGCGUAGGUGGCUUGAUAAGCCGGUUGUGAAAGCCCCGGGCUCAACCUGGGAACGGCAUCCGGAACUGUCAAGCUAGAGUGCAGGAGAGGAAGGUAGAAUUCCCGGUGUAGCGGUGAAAUGCGUAGAGAUCGGGAGGAAUACCAGUGGCGAAGGCGGCCUUCUGGACUGACACUGACACUGAGGUGCGAAAGCGUGGGUAGCAAACAGGAUUAGAUACCCCGGUAGUC